GCACAGGGCAGAAAAAGCACCUGUCCACAGAGCCUCAGACCUGAGCCCUGCUCCCUCUUCCCCUCUCGAGUUCAUGCUCCAGGAGGACACGUGCUUAGGGAGGUUCCCCAACUAUAAUUAGAAGCCUCCAGCCAAAAAAACAGAAGAAAACACAAAACAAAACACGGCCUGGAAGAAUGGGGAAUCCCAGAGUCCAGGCUGCCCUCUUUGCUCCACAGGCCAACAGAGGACCUUGUGAGCCUGGAGGGGAGGCGUCCCGAUGUCUUCAGUGGUCGCCCGGGGAAGCCUCUGCAAGCUAAUAAAUACUAUUUACAAAUGGGGAGGAGAAGCCAGGGAGGCAGAACUAGGGGCGUGUGGGGACACACAGACUGUGGAGAAAUCCUACAAGCAACAUGAUGGGGCAGGUUUGCCUGGAGUAGAGAAGCCUGAUUCCUUCAGGCAUUGCACUUGCGGCCUGAGAGUACGAAGGGGGCGCCUUGCUCCGGCGAAGGGACCCUGGGCCGGGGCCCAGGGCAGAGCGGCAUGGGGCGCCCGCGGGGCACCGCAGAGCCAGGCUGAGGAAGGCAGGACGUCAGUCAGUGCUUCGCCAGAUUCCAACGAGCAUCCUGGUAAAUUUUUGUGGGGCUCGAGUGAACAACAGUCAGCUCUUCUUCAAGGAGGCGGUCACACCCACCCCGGUGAGAAUCGGGCCGUAUCUUUUUGGCACUGUCGGUAG
Molecule: long non-coding RNA, 715 nt
Filed under: Ovis aries (sheep)
Lineage: Eukaryota; Metazoa; Chordata; Mammalia; Artiodactyla; Bovidae
Description: lncRNA (ENSOARG00000025256.1)
Source: RNAcentral